CAGCAGCCGCGGGAAAACAGAGGGUGCAAGCGUUAAUCGGAUUUACUGGGCGUAAAGGGCGCGUAGGUGGUUAUGUAAGUGAGAUGUGAAAUCCCCGGGCUCAACCUGGGAACUGCAUCUUAUACUGCGUAGCUGGAGUGCAGUAGAGGGUAGUGGAAUUUCCGGUGUAGCGGUGAAAUGCGUAGAUAUCGGAAGAAACACCAGUGGCGAAGGCGGCUACCUGGACUGACACUGACACUGAGGCGCGUAAGCGUGGGGAGCAAACAGGAUUAGAUACCCCCGUAGUCCCUGUCUCUUAUAC
This 301-nucleotide ribosomal RNA is filed under the name uncultured bacterium. RNAcentral's name for it is "partial 16S ribosomal RNA". It matches the Rfam family "Bacterial small subunit ribosomal RNA", at positions 509 to 807 of the family's 1533-position model. The record is from RNAcentral.